AGGUUCGAUUCUGGCUCAGGAUGAACGCUAGCGGCAGGCUUAACACAUGCAAGUCGAGGGGCAGCGGGAUGUAGCAAUACAUUGCCGGCGACCGGCGGAUGGGUGCGUAACGCGUAUGCAACCUACCUUAUACAGGGGAAUAACCUUUCGAAAGGGAGACUAACACCCCAUAGUAUUGAUUUAAGGCAUCUUAGAUUAAUUAAAUAUUUAUAGGUAUAAGAUGGGCAUGCGUAUGAUUAGCUAGUUGGUAAGGUAACGGCUUACCAAGGCGACGAUCAUUAGGGGUUCUGAGAGGAAGGUCCCCCACACUGGUACUGAGACACGGACCAGACUCCUACGGGAGGCGGCAGUGAGGAAUAUUGGUCAAUGGGCGCAAGCCUGAACCAGCCAUGCCGCGUGCAGGAAGACGGCCUUAUGGGUUGUAAACUGCUUUUACAUAAGACUAACCGUAUAUUUGCGAAUAUACCUGAAUGUAUUAUGAGAAUAAGGAUCGGCUAACUCCGUGCCAGCCGCCGC
Molecule: ribosomal RNA, 516 nt
Filed under: uncultured bacterium
Lineage: Bacteria
Description: bacterial SSU rRNA
Rfam family: Bacterial small subunit ribosomal RNA
Source: RNAcentral